RNAcentral lists this ribosomal RNA (477 nucleotides) under uncultured bacterium. Its description in RNAcentral is "bacterial SSU rRNA". It matches the Rfam family "Bacterial small subunit ribosomal RNA", at positions 28 to 506 of the family's 1533-position model. The record is from RNAcentral.
GACGAACGCUGGCGGCGUGCUUAAUACAUGCAAGUCAACUUGACUUUAGAUAGCAAUAUCGAAAAGUAGGGUGGCGCACGGGUGCGUAACGCGUAGGUAAUCUGCCCUGAGGUCUGACAUAACCCGUCGAAAGGCGGGCUAACAUCAGAUGAUAUAUAAUCACGACAUCGUGGAAAUAUCAAAUCUUCGGAGCCUUGGGAUGAGCCUGCGUCUGAUUAGGUAGUUGGCGGAGUAAUAGCCCACCAAGCCUACGAUCAGUAGCUGGUCUGAGAGGAUGAUCAGCCACACUGGAACUGAGACACGGUCCAGACUCCUACGGGAGGCAGCAGUAAGGAAUAUUGCUCAAUGGGGGAAACCCUGAAGCAGCAACGCCGCGUGAAGGAUGAAAUACUUUUGUAUGUAAACUUCUGUAAGAUGGGAAAAUAUUCUCCUCGGAGAAUUGAUUGUACCAUCAGCGUAAGCCCCGGCUAACUACGU